RNAcentral lists this ribosomal RNA (261 nucleotides) under uncultured bacterium. RNAcentral's name for it is "partial 16S ribosomal RNA". It matches the Rfam family "Bacterial small subunit ribosomal RNA", at positions 524 to 783 of the family's 1533-position model. The record is from RNAcentral.
UACGGAGGGUGCAAACGUUGCUCGGAAUCAUUGGGCGUAAAGCGCACGUAGGCGGCGCGUUAAGUCGGGUGUGAAAGCCCUGGGCUCAACCCAGGAAGUGCAUUCGAAACUGGCGCGCUUGAAUAUGGAAGAGGGUCGCGGAAUUCCCGGUGUAGAGGUGAAAUUCGUAGAUAUCGGGAGGAACACCAGUGGCGAAGGCGGCGACCUGGGCCAAUAUUGACGCUGAGGUGCGAAAGCGUGGGGAGCAAACAGGAUUGAGAU